GACGAACGCUGGCGGCGUGCUUAACACAUGCAAGUCGAACGGUGAACGAGGGCGCUUGCUCCCUCCGGAACAGUGGCGCACGGGUGAGUAACACGUGAACAAUCUGCUCCGAACUCUGGGAUAAGCGUUGGAAACGACCUCUAAUACCGGAUACGACGCGGCAGGGCAUCGUCUCCGCGUGGAAAGCACUUCGGUUCGGGGUGAGCUCGCGGCCUCUACGCUUGUUGGUGAGGAUGCGGCUCACCAAGGUGUGAAGGGAUAGCCGGCCUGAGGGGGUGCCCGGCAACACUGGGACGGAGACACGGCCGGGACUCCUAGGGGAGGCAGAAGGGGGGAAUAUUGCACAAGGGGCGCAGGCCUGAUGCAGCAACGCGGGGUGGGGGAGGACGGCCUUCGGGUUGUAAACGUCUUUUGGCGGGGAAGAGGCGGAAGGGACGGUACCGGCAGAAAAAGCACGGGUAAAUUACUG
RNAcentral lists this ribosomal RNA (469 nucleotides) under uncultured bacterium. RNAcentral's name for it is "partial 16S ribosomal RNA". It matches the Rfam family "Bacterial small subunit ribosomal RNA", at positions 28 to 506 of the family's 1533-position model. The record is from RNAcentral.